CCCUUAGAUGUCCUGGGCCGCACGCGCGCUACACUGACAUGUUCAACAAGCCUCCUAGUUCGACAGGAUUUGGGAAAUCUUUGAACGCAUGUCGUGAUAGGGAUAGAUCAUUGCAAUUAUUGAUCUUGAACGAGGGAUUCCUAGUAAACGCGAGUCAUCAGCUCGCAUUGAUUACGUCCCUGCCCUUUGUACACACCGCCCGUCGCACCUACCGAUUGAAUGUUUCGGUGAAGAUUCCGGAUAGGACUUUUUUGAUUUAUUUCAAUUUUGUCUUAAAAGCUAUCUAAACCUCAACAUUUAGAGGAAGGUGAAGUCGUAACA
RNAcentral lists this ribosomal RNA (321 nucleotides) under uncultured eukaryote. Its description in RNAcentral is "partial 18S ribosomal RNA". It matches the Rfam family "Eukaryotic small subunit ribosomal RNA", at positions 1470 to 1796 of the family's 1831-position model. The record is from RNAcentral.